This is an RNA transcript of Syzygium oleosum, 3402 nucleotides long. It is a transcript of the gene named 8-amino-7-oxononanoate synthase, with no coding region annotated. Lineage: Eukaryota; Viridiplantae; Streptophyta; Magnoliopsida; Myrtales; Myrtaceae. The record is from RefSeq and is a predicted model, not a curated record. The transcript is spliced from 12 exons.
UAGCGGAGCUACUUGCUUUGCGUCUCUCCUCCGGCCACGCAACUUUCUUCUUGCGGGCCGACCACUCGGCGGCGGAGAUUCCCACGAACCAACCCGAAUCGAGCUUUCUGUCUCUUUUUCCUUAAUUUCUGCAAACGAUGCGGCUGCCCAUAACAGCGUGUUAGCAUCUGCAGCGUGGUCCGUCGCCGCCGCCUUCGUCUUCGCUUUUCAGCAGCCGGGUCGUCUUCUCGGUUUUGGUCAUCGUAAUUUGCAAGUUCCAGUUCCUGGGUCGGAGCCAAAUCGCAUUUUUCCCUCGCGCAUUUCGAUAAAACAGCGUCCUUUCAUCUCAGAAGGGGAAAUCACAAGCCCGGGAAAGCUUUUCGCUUUUGCCGGCAAGUACAGGGGAAAGAGCGCGCUGAGAAGAUCGAUGACCACCGAGUGUGCAGGGCGUUGGGACGGCUGGGUCAAAGAGGCACUCGCGAGGCUCGAGUCCCUCAAGAUCGUUCGGUCUCUGAGGCCCAUUAGCCUGUCGGUGCAGCGGCAGGAGCUCGGUGGCGAUGCGAGUCGAGGGUCAGAGUCAGGGAGCGGUGGGAAUGAUGAUGAGUAUGAGGUGUUCGAGGAAAUGAAACCGUGGGAUCGAGCUUCUGUCGAGGUUGACGUUGCUGAUUCCACGUUCCGCAGUUGGCUCCAUGACAUCCCUAGCUCUGGAGACGAUGUUAUGUGGGGAGAUGGAUUGGCUGAUAGCACAGUAGCAGCAAACGACGGUCAAUUCAAGAAGCUAAUUUUAUUCUCUAGUAAUGACUACCUUGGGUUGAGUUCACAUCCCACAAUUGGAAAAGCUGCUGCCAAGGCAGCAAAUGAGCAUGGGAUGGGUCCGAGAGGAUCUGCUCUGAUCUGUGGAUAUACCAAUUAUCAUAGACGUCUGGAAUCUUGCUUGGCAGAGUUAAAGAAGAAAGAGGAGUGUCUUCUUUGUCCUACUGGGUUUGCUGCGAAUAUGGCCGUGAUGGUGGCAAUUGGAAGCAUCAGCUUACUGCUUGCCGCAGGUGUACAACCUGAAAAGGAUGAGAAGAUUGCCAUAUUUUCUGAUGCCUUGAAUCAUGCAUCCAUAAUUGAUGGAAUCCGUCUUGCUGAAAGACAACGAAGUGUGGAAGUUUUCGUUUAUGGCCACUGCGACAUGUUUCACCUGAAUAAAUUGCUAUCUGCCUGCACGAUGGAGAGGAAAGUUGUUGUGACUGAUAGUUUGUUUAGCAUGGAUGGAGACUUUGCACCAAUGGAUGAGCUUGUGAGACUUAGGAGAAAGCAUGAUUUUCUCUUAGUCAUUGAUGAUGCUCAUGGAACAUUUGUUUGUGGAAAAAAUGGUGGAGGAGUUGCUGAGGAGUUUGAUUGUGAAAGAGAUGUUGACAUAUGUGUCGGCACUCUGAGCAAAGCUGCAGGUUGCCAUGGUGGAUUUGUCGCAUGCAGCAAAAGGUGGAAGCAACUCAUCCAGUCAAGGGGUCGCUCUUUCAUAUUUUCUACUGCUACCCCCGUCCCAGUUGCUGCUGCUGCACAUGCUGCUGUCAUUGUGGCAAAGAAAGAGACAUGGCGUAGAAGGGAACUAUGGAACCGCAUACAGGACUUCCGUGCUCUCACUGGAAUACCCAUCUUAAGUCCAAUAAUCUCUCUCAUUGUUGGUAGUGAAGAGAAUGCCUUGCAAGCAAGCAGGCAUAUGCUGGAGUCUGGAUUUCACGUGACUGCAAUUAGACCCCCAACAGUUCCUCCGAAUUCAUGCAGGCUAAGGGUAACUCUGACUGCAACGCACACAAAGGAUGAUCUAGUGAAGCUUACUCAAGCACUUUCCUGCUGCAUCAACUUCCAAGAGUUAUCCAUCCAUUGCCCGAAAGUCUAUGCUAGACUAUAAGGCAUAACUUUUUACCUACUACUCAAUCUUGUUUUCGGUUCUCCAUUCUUCAUUUCUUUCACAAUGAGCCAGUAGCCCAUGAAGGGCCAUUGAAGUUUGCCAGACAAUUACAAGUAGUUGACUAGAGAUCUAUAGGUUGCACCAGGCUUCCAGUUUUCUGGAAUCACGUUCUUGGCCACUAUGGUCUCCCUUGAGUAUUGCGAUGUCAGCUGAAUUGAGAACGGCGGUUGCAUCUCUGAGGCAGCGUCCAGCUUCCAAACAGCGCCCCAUGACUGUUGCAUCGACCUCCACUCCUCAGACCCCAUUGAAGCUUCCUUUAGUGAUACCGCUGCUAGAUCGCCAUCUCCCUCUUCAUACUCAACCAGCACUGCAAAGUAGUUAGAGUUGGACCCUAAAUCAACAUGGAAUGCUAUGGUUCUUCCCGAGUAAUUGCACGCAAUUCUGGAAAUAUAAGAAAUGCAUGGAAGGUGUCAACUGAAUUGGCAAUACAAAUCGAAACACUCACUGAGCCAGAACUUUUUCGGGUAUGUUAGAUAAGUUACCGAGCAUAUCGGAUUUUGAGGAUGCCAGCAUCCCGGAGUUUGACUUCUUCUCCUGCUUUAGCCAUAGCACCGAAUGCAGUCCCGCUGAGGUCGAAAUGGGCAGAAUCAGUCACACAGGGACCUCCGGGGCAACAGUCUGUGAUGACCACCCUCAUCGGUUUGCCCGAACAGGAUGGAUGCAUUCUUUUGGGACAUUUGAUCUACCAAGUAAAGAUAGAACCAUAACUGUAUAUUAGUAGGUUAUGCACACUGAUAUGAACCCCGACAGUUUCACCUCCAUCUGCUACAUUGAAGGUGAGCGUGCGUUGUGAAAGCACAGCUUUGGAAAAUCAAGAAGUUUUGGACCGACAGAAUCUCACUCUGUUUCGAUUGUAAUGCAAGAUUUUCAGGCAUUUUCAUACACUACACGUGAAUCUACUCUAACAUGUUUGCGAAGUUUGCAAAAUAAAUGGAGUGUACCUUGUAGCAAGCUCCACACUCUUUGCCUGAUUUGUACAGAGAAGGGCCGAUUCCGGUCACCAUGGAAGAGAACGGAGGUUGCGACACCACAUUCCCGUAUCCACAAGAUCCGCCUACAACAUGUCCAUUGUCCACAUACAUUGUUAUUCUCGCAUAGAUCAGAUGGAAAACAAUCAGACCAAGUCUCUGUGCAUUACAUACCAUCGCUACCGGCUCCAUUGGGACUUCCGUACCAGGUUGCUCCGGCCCAAGACCAGCGGGUUCCGAAUGUUGUUAAGUUCAAGUGCUUGGCUUUGAAGCCGAUGCACGUCUGGCUGAAGCCAAGCGAGGCUACCACACACAAGAAGAUCGAAGGGUGAAAUGGAAAUGAGUUAUGAGUGGCCAUGUUUUGUGUUCUCUAUGACAAGGACUUUCGCAUGUUCUAGUAAGAAAGAGCUUUGAUCGACUUGAAUGUCUGUAAACUCUCUACUAUAUAUAGGCACAGGAGGAGCAAGCAUUAGUGGGAAUCAUUGGUUUGGUUGCUCG